RNAcentral lists this ribosomal RNA (468 nucleotides) under uncultured bacterium. Its description in RNAcentral is "partial 16S ribosomal RNA". It matches the Rfam family "Bacterial small subunit ribosomal RNA", at positions 28 to 507 of the family's 1533-position model. The record is from RNAcentral.
GACGAACGCUGGCGGCGUGCUUAACACAUGCAAGUCGAACGGAAAGGCCCUGCUUUCGUGGGGUGCUCGAGUGGCGAACGGGUGAGUAACACGUGAGUAACCUGCCCUUGACUUUGGGAUAACUUCAGGAAACUGGGGCUAAUACCGGAUAGGAGCUCCUACUGCAUGGUGGGGGUUGGAAAGUUUCGGCGGUUGGGGAUGGACUCGCGGCUUAUCAGCUUGUUGGUGGGGUAGUGGCUUACCAAGGCUUUGACGGGUAGCCGGCCUGAGAGGGUGACCGGCCACAUUGGGACUGAGAUACGGCCCAGACUCCUACGGGAGGCAGCAGUGGGGAAUAUUGCACAAUGGGCGGAAGCCUGAUGCAGCAACGCCGCGUGCGGGAUGACGGCCUUCGGGUUGUAAACCGCUUUCGCCUGUGACGAAGCGUGAGUGACGGUAAUGGGUAAAGAAGCACCGGCUAACUACGUG